GGUUGGUCCGAAGGUAGUGAAUUCUCUCAACUGAUUGUUACAGAUCAAACUCCUUGUUCUUUCCCUCCUUCCCACUACUGCCCUUGACUAGUCUAAA
Y RNA from Panthera leo (lion), 97 nucleotides. It matches the Rfam family "Y RNA". From Rfam's summary of the family: Y RNAs are components of the Ro ribonucleoprotein particle (Ro RNP), in association with Ro60 and La proteins. The Y RNAs and Ro60 and La proteins are well conserved, but the function of the Ro RNP is not known. In humans the RNA component can be one of four small RNAs -- hY1, hY3, hY4 and hY5. Lineage: Eukaryota; Metazoa; Chordata; Mammalia; Carnivora; Felidae. The record is from Ensembl.